Molecule: ribosomal RNA, 57 nt
Filed under: Erysimum cheiri
Lineage: Eukaryota; Viridiplantae; Streptophyta; Magnoliopsida; Brassicales; Brassicaceae
Description: partial 5.8S ribosomal RNA
Source: RNAcentral
CGGCUCUCGCAUNGAUGAAAAACGUCCGAAAUGCGAUACUUGGUGUGAAUUGCAGAA